Triticum aestivum (bread wheat) is the source of this 123-nucleotide non-coding RNA. Lineage: Eukaryota; Viridiplantae; Streptophyta; Magnoliopsida; Poales; Poaceae. The record is from Rfam.
AUUGUACUCCCUCCGUCUGGAAAUACUUGUCGCAGAAAUGCUAAAAAAUGGAUGUCUAGAACUAAAAUACGUCUAGAUACAUCCAUUCAUCCGACAAGUAUUUCCGAACGGAGGGAAUAACAA